UUUGUAUUGUUCUGAUCAAACUUUUGUAAUACCUGGAAGAUGCAAAGUCUGGACAUUUGAGGCAUUAGAAACUGUUUCAUGUCCGAAAAGAAACGAAGAGAAGAAGAAAAUAAGGAACAAUGCAUAAGGGUUUGAUCUGAAACAUAACAUGAUGUUUAUGUCUCUCUUUGUGUUUCUUAAUAUUGAUUUUGAA
Molecule: long non-coding RNA, 193 nt
Organism: Hibiscus syriacus
Lineage: Eukaryota; Viridiplantae; Streptophyta; Magnoliopsida; Malvales; Malvaceae
Exons: 3
Source: RefSeq, a predicted model, not a curated record